This 253-nucleotide ribosomal RNA is filed under the name uncultured bacterium. RNAcentral's name for it is "partial 16S ribosomal RNA". It matches the Rfam family "Bacterial small subunit ribosomal RNA", at positions 524 to 776 of the family's 1533-position model. The record is from RNAcentral.
UACAGAGGGGGCAAGCGUUGUUCGGAAUUACUGGGCGUAAAGGGCGCGUAGGCGGCCUUCUAAGUCGAACGUGAAAUCCCCGGGCUCAACCCAGGAACUGCGUCCGAUACUGGAAGGCUUGAAUCCGGGAGAGGGAUGCGGAAUUCCAGGUGUAGCGGUGAAAUGCGUAGAUAUCUGGAGGAACACCGGUGGCGAAGGCGGCAUCCUGGACCGGUUCUGACGCUGAGGCGCGAAAGCGUGGGGAGCAAACAGG